AGUGCUUACUGCAUUUUUUUACACAUGUGUUUUUCUUUUUUUUUGAAAACUUUGCUUUGGUGGGCCCAUGGCCUGCCAGAGAUUAAACUCAACCAAAUUUUAUUUAAGUCAACUGAUUAACUAAUAGUCAAAACUUUCAACAACGGAUCUCUUGGUUCUCGCAUCGAUGAAGAACGCAGCGAAAUGCGAUAAGUAAUAUGAAUUGCAGAUAUUCGUGAAUCAUCGAAUCUUUGAACGCACAUUGCGCCCUUUGGUAUUCCAAAGGGCAUGCCUGUUUGAGCGUCAUUUCUCCCUCAAACCUUCGGGUUUGGUGUUGAGCGAUACGCUGGGUUUGCUUGAAAGAAAGGCGGAGUAUAAACUAAUGGAUAGGUUUUUUUCCACUCAUUGGUACAAACUCCAAAAUUCUUCCAAAUUCGACCUCAAAUCAGGUAGGACUACCCGCUGAACUUAAGCAUAUCAAUAAGCGGAGGGAAAAGAAA
This 479-nucleotide ribosomal RNA is filed under the name Lodderomyces orthopsilosis. RNAcentral's name for it is "eukaryotic LSU rRNA". The stretch from base 132 to 285 matches the Rfam family "5.8S ribosomal RNA". The record is from RNAcentral. Lineage: Eukaryota; Fungi; Ascomycota; Pichiomycetes; Serinales; Debaryomycetaceae.